RNAcentral lists this ribosomal RNA (253 nucleotides) under uncultured bacterium. RNAcentral describes it as "partial 16S ribosomal RNA". It matches the Rfam family "Bacterial small subunit ribosomal RNA", at positions 524 to 776 of the family's 1533-position model. The record is from RNAcentral.
UACGUAGGUGGCGAGCGUUGUCCGGAAUUACUGGGUGUAAAGGGCGUGUAGGCGGGAAAACAAGUCAGAUGUGAAAUACCGAGGCUUAACCUCGGGGCUGCAUCUGAAACUGUAUUUCUUGAGUGUCGGAGAGGAAAGUGGAAUUCCCAGUGUAGCGGUGAAAUGCGUAGAUAUUGGGAGGAACACCAGUGGCGAAGGCGACUUUCUGGACGAUAACUGACGCUGAGGCGCGAAAGCGUGGGGAGCAAACAGG